GGGUCGUUAGCUCAGUUGGUAGAGCAGUUGACUUUUAAUCAAUUGGUCGCAGGUUCGAAUCUUUGAAUAUCUCA
This 74-nucleotide transfer RNA is filed under the name Shigella sonnei. RNAcentral's name for it is "tRNA-Lys(ttt)". It matches the Rfam family "tRNA". From Rfam's summary of the family: Transfer RNA (tRNA) molecules are approximately 80 nucleotides in length. Their secondary structure includes four short double-helical elements and three loops (D, anti-codon, and T loops). The record is from RNAcentral. Lineage: Bacteria; Pseudomonadati; Pseudomonadota; Gammaproteobacteria; Enterobacterales; Enterobacteriaceae.